AGCAGCCGCGGUAAUUCCAGCUCCAAUAGCGUAUAUUAAAGUUGUUGCAGUUAAAAAGCUCGUAGUUGAAUUUCGGGAUCAAUGCGUCGGUCGUGCUUUCGGGUACGUACUGGUGUCAUUGGUUUCUCCUUUCUGACGAGCCGUGAUGUCAUUAAUUUGGUGUUACGGGUAGUUAGGACUGUUACUUUGAAAAAAUUAGAGUGUUUAAAGCAGGCUCACGCUUGAAUACAUUAGCAUGGAAUAAUGAAAUAGGACGUAUGAUCCUAUUUUGUUGGUUUCUAGGAUUGACGUAAUGAUUAAUAGGGAUAGUUGGGGGGCAUUAGUAUUCAAUUGUCAGAGGUGAAAUUCUUGGAUUUAUUGAAGACUAACUACUGCGAAAGCAUUUGCCAAGGAUGUUUUCAUUAAUCAAGAACGAAAGUUAGGGGAUCGAAGACGAUCAGAUACCGUCGUAGUCUUAACCAUAAACUAUGCCGACUAGGGAUCGGAUGAUGUUAAUUUUUUUAAUGACUCAUUCGGCGCC
This 520-nucleotide ribosomal RNA is filed under the name uncultured Glomus. RNAcentral describes it as "SSU rRNA". It matches the Rfam family "Eukaryotic small subunit ribosomal RNA", at positions 569 to 1087 of the family's 1831-position model. Lineage: Eukaryota; Fungi; Glomeromycota; Glomeromycetes; Glomerales; Glomeraceae. The record is from RNAcentral.